RNAcentral lists this ribosomal RNA (238 nucleotides) under uncultured bacterium. RNAcentral describes it as "partial 16S ribosomal RNA". It matches the Rfam family "Bacterial small subunit ribosomal RNA", at positions 30 to 275 of the family's 1533-position model. The record is from RNAcentral.
UUGAACGCUGGCGGCAUGCCUCACACAUGCAAGUCGAACGGUAGAGGGGCAACCCUUGAGAGUGGCGAACGGGUGAGUAAUGCAUCGGAACGUGCCCAGUCGUGGGGGAUAACGCAGCGAAAGCUGUGCUAAUACCGCAUGUGAUCUGUGGAUGAAAGCAGGGGACCGCAAGGCCUUGUGCGAUUGGAGCGGCCGAUGUCAGAUUAGCUAGUUGGUAGGGUAAAAGCCUACCAAGGCG